GCCAAGUAGCGGUGCAGCAGCGAGAUGGCAGCUGCUCUUGGGAUGCUCGUGUCCAAGUAUCUCCUUAUUUUACACCUGCACCUUGAAUAUCAAAUGGCCUUCACGUCUCUCUGGUUGAUUUAACUGGCUCUCCUUACCUCCCCUUCUUUUUGUCUCCCCUUCUUCCUUUAUGUCUGCUUUCACCCCUUUUUCCAGGUGGUCCCCAAACAGCUCCUGAUAAAGUGUUCAUCUCCGAAAACCCUGUUCCAGGCACUCCGCGGGCGGUCACCAACAGCCAAACGCAAAGGCCUUCCUACUCGAGGAACUAAUGGGCCACAGGACCAGCUUUUGGAAAUACAAAUUUGAUCCUGCCUAUGACAUAUGAGACCAGCCCACGGCUUUCCAUUGCUCUUAAGAUAAGGAGCAACUCCCUCAAAGCCCUGAGUGGACAGCCUUGCUUCCUCCCCCGCCACACCCCACAAACACACUACCCCUCUGUUUACGUCUCUCGGACAUUUGUCACCUCCUCGAAUGGACCAACCAGGAUCUCAGUGUUUAAGCCUGAUAGAGUCCUCUUUUGCCAUUCAGAGUCCUUGUCCCGAGUCAUAGGUACACUCCUGUGAUGAUGGAUUAGUGCUGACCUCCCCCACCCGACUGUGAAUUGCAGGAGUGUGGGGAGGAGGUUAGAGGUCCCUGGACAGCUGGAGGCCGGCUGGGUGUUGGACCCAUGAGACUGGAGCCAGAAGAAAGGUCAUGGCCAGUGAAGAAGAAAAGGUCAUGGCCAGUGGAUGCCCUGGGCUGAUAUGGUCCUCGUGAAGAGGAAGAGGGGAAGGAGAGAAAGGAGCCGGCAGAUGGUGACUCUCCUGCCUGCUUCAGCUUUACAAGCAAAACACCUACUUUCAGCUUGGAAAGAAUCAAUGGGCAGGCCACGCGCAGCCUGCCACGUCAGGGAGCCGGGGGGCGCUCUGCGCCAAGGCAGCAAUCCUCACGAAGGACCAGGGGUAGGAAUGGGGAGAGGCGCUCUGAAUGGAGGCACCCACCCUCCAACUCCGAAGGAACAAGAGCUGACUCAGAAGUUGAGGAAGGUGUGGCUGGAGAUGUGGCUGUUGGGCAACGUCGUCGGCACGGUCACCAGCAGCGACUGCCGUCUAAGAACCAAGUCCAAGAGAAGAAGGAAGAGAAGGCUGGCUGUGGUGGGCCUUGUGACGGCUGCCGGCUGCCGGCUGCCGGGGUCGUUAAAAUCAAAGCUCCCUCCCGAGCCCUCCGUCCCAGCCCCAUCUGUGUAGCUCAACCGUGACUUUCAUCUGUUUUCUUCCCUGUGACCAGAGACCUGAGGAAUGAGUCCAGGAGGAAAGACAGAGAAAUCCAUCCAGAAGCACAGAAUCCGGAGACUCGGGGCCUCCCUGGUCACGUCCGACCGCACGCAUUGCUGCUGUUCGGGGGGACCCCUGGCGCCCACGAAUGGGGACACCAGUGGAGGCGUGAAGAAGUCCCCGGCAUCUUCCCCUAGUUCAGACACUCAAGGAUUCCUGCAUUUGGUGACCCUGGCCCCCCCUCAGCUCCCUAGGAGCCAGGGUCUCUUGGAUCCCCUCUGGAAAAACCGCUGCCUCCAUCGCCCGGGGCGGGGGUGGUGCACAGUCCCAGUUGGACGCCCACCUGGGGAUGGGGCCAGCCAGGCAGCCAGCAGGAGCCGAGAGAUCAAGCGAGAGGAGACCUGCUGAAAUACUAGUUGAGGCCUUCUUCUCGUUGGUAAAAUCAGACCAGGCUUCGGAGCUCGGGAGGCGAAGUCCCAAAGCUCCCCUCUGAGAACAGUUCUGUUCAGGACCUCGGGUUCCAAGUGUCUCGGCUUCAAUGGCAAGAACAAAGCAAGAAGGGCAGGAGUUGGGGUAGAUUUGUCUGGAUUCACAAAGCCUCAUUUGAGGAUCCAGUGCCAAACCCCGAGGACUCCGAGCCUCGAGCGGGGGUGGCAAGCCUUCUCCAGAAAGGGCCAGAUAGUCCUUGUCUCCACUCCUCAGCCCUGCCCUUGGGGGGCAAACAGGUGUGGUUGUGGCCCAAUGCAACUUCAUUUACAAAAUAAACUGUCACCAGAUUUGCCACACAAACCCUAGUUGCCAGCUCUGCCCUAGAGAGUAUUUGGAACCCGGAGACCGGGAAGAAGAAGAUCCUUUUGUGGUCUGGAAAGAAAGCCCUGGAAGGGAUGGGAAAGUAAAAAGCAAGAGAAUUGAAAUGCUAGUGUUGCCUUCACGUCUUUGCCCUUGUCUCCACGUUGAAUCUGAGUGGAAGAGGGAGUUAGGAAUAAAUCCCAGAGAGUCUUGGAGAUCUGGGAGCGGAGGGUCGUGGGCCCAGAACAUUCCACAUAACUGUAGGAGGAACCAAUCCCAAGGAAUACCCCACAUCAACACAGCAUGGCCACCAGAAAGGAAGAAAGGCACUGUGGGUGGUUUAGCAGAGGAGGUCAGAGCCAGGCCUCUCACGUCUCCAGGUCUUCUUUGGCUCCCACAGGGCAAAGAGGAAACCUGAGCUUUGCACACACACAAGGCGGCUCUGGAGGGUCCCUGGUGAGAACCAAGAUGAGCCGACCCCAUAGCCCACAGCAGAGCCGGGCAGUGCGCUGCCCAGACGGAAGUCGCCCUUGGCUUGAGCCAAGUGAACACCUGGUGGGCAGAGAAAGCCCACCCAGAGCCCAGGCUGGUCCCCAAGACUAGCCUCGCCCAGAGGACGGACAAGUGACAUCAAUUUGGGGCCUCAGAGCAGGGGGGACGGGGCGAGACCUGAGCGUCGGGGCCCAGGGCUUCCGAGGGUUUCCCUCCACAGCCUCUUCGGCUGGGGGUGAGUGCUCCUCCAGCCUCCCUCCGAAUAAUUCAUUACUUAGCUAAAGAAUGACCUCGGCCAUGUCCUCUUGCUCCAGGCCUUGCUUAUCUCGUGGACAUCCAAGCCUUGCGGGCUGGCUGAGAUGGCUGGUGGAGCUGUCAGUCCCCCUUGAACCCGAGGCCGAGAGCACUGUACCUUUUUAAUUGUCACAGCUUCAAAUUCAUGUAAAUAGAUGAAAUGCAAACUGAAUUUCGCGCAGCGGGGCGCAGGGAGAGGGCCUGGUUGGUGCGGGGCCGGGGACACUGGGUCCUGCCGCCCUGGAGCCCUAGGGUCCCGGCGUCUGCAAACAGUUUGCACCAAGUGCAAUAGUUGGAAGCGGGGGAAGCGGUGGCUUAAGGUGAGGGCUCACCUGGAUUAGCCUUCUCUGGCUGCUGCAACAAAUCACCGCCAACCUAAUGGCUUCAAACGACACGGAUUUAUUGUCUUACAGUCUGGACGUCGGAAGUCCUAAAAUCGGGGUGCUGGCAGGGUUGUAGUUCUUCUGGGGGCUCUAGGGGAGAACCCAUUUUGGCGACUUCUCGGGGCCACCUGCAUUCUUUGUCUCACGUCCCCUUCCUUGAUUUACACUAACCUCUGUUUCUGUCAUCAUGUCUCUCUGUCCCUCUGACCCUCCUGCCUCCCGCUUAUAAAGGGCUUUGGGCACGAUGUCGGGGCCACCCAAAUAAUCUAGGGCAACCUCCCUAGUCAACAGCAAGUCCCCUUUGGCACAUGGUAACGUACUCGCAGGCUCCAGAGGUCAGGACGAGGUCGCGGGGACGGGGAGGAGGUGUUUAUUUAGUCCACAACACCAGCCGUGGCGCGAUGCCAAAACCAGAGCAAGCCUGCCCAGGAAGACUUCCCUUGACCUGCUUGACCCUGGGUGAGAAACUCUGGGUCUGGUCUGGGCUCCCCAAAAUGGGCAGCUAGAGCCUGUGUGUCCUUUCCUCUCCCCUUGCCCCACCUUGGUCUAGGUUUGCUCACGGGCUGUUAGGAAGGAAGUGAGGCUGGGCCUGGGGGCCUGGGAGGGCACACCCCACGCUGGGAAAUGUCCUUCCUACAGGGAAGGGCCCCGGGCUGGGCUCCUGACCCGAGGGCCUCCUGGAAGUGCGUUCUGGGAAGUGGAGCCCGGCGUCCAGCCCUGUGGGUACCUGAGAGCCACGGAGUGGAGAUGGAGACGCCAUCUGCCUGCGGCCUGGGGAACUGCUUGAGAGGCACGACAGCUGGAGGGAGACCCUGCACACCCCCUGCCAUCCGGCUUCGUUCUCUCCUUCCUUGGUCUGGGAGCUCCCCUAUACCGUUCAGACAGAUCUUUUCAUAUCUGAGCCACAACAGAGCUGAAUUCGAGUUCUAUCCUUUGGCACUGUUAGGCCCAAGCAGAACAAGGAAUAAAGAUGACCACUUCUGGUAUGAAAGCUGAGGUAAUUAGGACCGAUGUACCCGCUGAGGACAAGUCAAAGAACUGGGUGAAAUAACAAAAAAAAAAAAAUCAUCAAAGAACAAACAAGGGAGUAAUUGCUGAGGUUGAGUCAAGGUGAGGAUCAGAACCCAGAAGCCCAGAACUCAAAGCUGUCUUUGUCCUGAGGGUACUUGCUGAUACAAAAAAAAAGGGGGGAGGGGGCAGUUGAAAACCAAGCAGGUGGAUUUCCAGGCUCAAGAAGACAAAAGUCAAAACCUAGAAUCCACCAAAAAUAUGUACUGUGUUAAAACAUCUUUUUUUAAUGCUGGGACCCCAAAGGGCCUCAGAAUAAGUUGAGUUGAAAGAAAAUCUUGCAGGGACCCACAGCCCAGGUUUACCCUGCCCAGGUGGGUGAGGAAAACUCAAGACUUGAACUUGGAUGAAGGGAGCACUGGACUAGUAAUACCCCAGGCACCCAACAAAAAUAAAUGAAAAUGCUCCCAGAAUGCAUAUGUCCUCACCUAGGGGUCCUCGUUAUUACUACAGCGCUCCCAAUACAACGAUCAGCACCCAGCGGAAGACAACCAGACACACUCAGAAACCAGAAACCGUAAGUUAAAAAGAGCAGAAAGGCCAGACAGCACAAAUAGACACACAAAGACCUACCGAUUAUCAUAUGCAAACUAUAAAACAGCUACACUGAUUAUAUUUGUAGAAAUAAAACACAGGCCUAUAAGUUUUAACAGGGACCUGGAAAUUACAUUCGAAAAGUAAGGGCAGCCUGGGUGGCUCAGCGGUUUAGCACCGCCUUCAGCCCAGCCCUGGAGGCCCAGGAUCGAGUCCCACGUCGGGCUCCCUACAUGGAGCCUGCUUCUCCCUCUGCCCGUGUC
This is a long non-coding RNA of Canis lupus familiaris (dog), 5115 nucleotides long. RefSeq lists it as uncharacterized. NCBI's taxonomy places the organism in Eukaryota, Metazoa, Chordata, Mammalia, Carnivora, Canidae. The transcript is spliced from 5 exons. The record is from RefSeq and is a predicted model, not a curated record.